UUUACCAGAAUGCUUUGUUAUUUUCCACGGAAAAGUGGAGAGUUCUUUUUGGCUAGCAGCUUCCUUCCGCCUCUCUGUCCUUCAGCACAGUCAUUGUGUAAUUGGGUUUUUAAAAAAAACAUGGAAAAGUUUCUCAACUGCACUAACACAGAGGAACUUGUACUGCAUCCAGCAAUCCAGCAAGUCUUUUGGGAGCCUGGCAGACAGAUUCUGGCGUCAACAAGGCACCAAGCUCCAAGAUCAAGACCUGAAUUGCCUACAAUUUCUAAAGUCUGAUUCCCUCAAGCGGCCAGAAUGGAAAAUGCACAUCUUGCCUUUGAGUUUUAGGCUCAUGAAGCAAAUUGGAAUGACAGCGAACGAACAGAAUCAUUUUUCAACGAGGUUAAAAUAAAAGAUCUGAAUUUUAACUCAUGACGACAUCAACACAAACUUACUUUUGCCAUCCUUUAAAGAAGUUCCACUUCUAAGUGCCCAUCUAGAAGCAGAGGCAGUAUAUGUCCACACAAAAACUUGUAUGUGAAUGCUCAUGGUGGGUUAUUCACAGUACUGCAAAGUAGAAACAACCCAAAUGUCCCUCAGCUGAAGAACA
Chinchilla lanigera (long-tailed chinchilla) is the source of this 589-nucleotide long non-coding RNA. RefSeq lists it as uncharacterized. NCBI's taxonomy places the organism in Eukaryota, Metazoa, Chordata, Mammalia, Rodentia, Chinchillidae. The transcript is spliced from 3 exons. The record is from RefSeq and is a predicted model, not a curated record.